GGCGAACGGGUGAGUAACACGUGGAUAACCUGCCUCAAGGCUGGGGAUAACAUUUGGAAACAGAUGCUAAUACCGAAUAAAACUUAGUAUCGCAUGAUACAAAGUUGAAAGGCGCUACGGCGUCACCUAGAGAUGGGUCCGCGGUGCAUUAGUUAGUUGGUGGGGUAAAGGCCUACCAAGACAAUGAUGCAUAGCCGAGUUGAGAGACUGAUCGGCCACUUUGGGACUGAGACACGGCCCAAACUCCUACGGGAGGCUGCAGUAGGGAAUCUUCCACAAUGGGCGAAAGCCUGAUGGAGCAACGCCGCGUGUGUGAUGAAGGCUUUAGGGUCGUAAAGCACUGUUGUAUGGGAAGAAAUGCUAGAAUAGGGAAUGAUUCUAGUUCGACGGUACCAUACCAGAAAGGGACGGCUAAAUACGUGCCAGCAGCCGCGGUAAUACGUAUGUCCCGAGCGUUAUCCGGAUUUAUUGGGCGUAAAGCGAGCGCAGACGGUUGAUUAAGUCUGAUGUGAAAGCCCGGAGCUCAACUCCGGAAUGGCAUUGGAAACUGGUUAACUUGAGUGUUGUAGAGGUAAGUGGAACUCCAUGUGUAGCGGUGGAAUGCGUAGAUAUAUGGAAGAACACCAGUGGCGAAGGCGGCUUACUGGACAACAACUGACGUUGAGGCUCGAAAGUGUGGGUAGCAAACAAGAUUAUAUACCCUGGUAGUCCACACCGCANACGAUGAAUACUAGGUGUUAGGAGGUUUCCGCCUCUUAGUGCCGAAGCUAACGCAUUUAUGUAUUCCGCCUGGGAGAGUACG
This 802-nucleotide ribosomal RNA is filed under the name Leuconostoc sp. C9I15. Its description in RNAcentral is "bacterial SSU rRNA". It matches the Rfam family "Bacterial small subunit ribosomal RNA", at positions 97 to 884 of the family's 1533-position model. The record is from RNAcentral. Lineage: Bacteria; Bacillati; Bacillota; Bacilli; Lactobacillales; Lactobacillaceae.